UACACUCCUACGGGAGGCAGCAGUGGGGAAUUUUGGACAAUGGGCGAAAGCCUGAUCCAGCAAUGCCGCGUGUGUGAAGAAGGCCUUCGGGUUGUAAAGCACUUUUGUCCGGAAAGAAAUCCUUGGCUCUAAUACAGUCGGGGGAUGACGGUACCGGAAGAAUAAGCACCGGCUAACUACGUGCCAGCAGCCGCGGUAAUACGUAGGGUGCGAGCGUUAAUCGGAAUUACUGGGCGUAAAGCGUGCGCAGGCGGUUUGCUAAGACCGAUGUGAAAUCCCCGGGCUCAACCUGGGAACUGCAUUGGUGACUGGCAGGCUAGAGUAUGGCAGAGGGGGGUAGAAUUCCACGUGUAGUAGUGAAAUGCGUAGAGAUGUGGAGGAAUACCGAUGGCGAAGGCAGCCCCCUGGGCCAAUACUGACGCUCAUGCACGAAAGCGUGGGGAGCAAACAGGAUUAGAUACCCCGGUAGUCCCAUG
Molecule: ribosomal RNA, 476 nt
Filed under: uncultured organism
Description: partial 16S ribosomal RNA
Rfam family: Bacterial small subunit ribosomal RNA
Source: RNAcentral